UACGUAGGGUGCGAGCGUUAAUCGGAAUUACUGGGCGUAAAGCGUGCGCAGGCGGUUCGUGAUGUCUGAUGUGAAAGCCCCGGGCUUAACCUGGGAAUGGCAUUGGAAACUAGCGGGCUGGAGUGUGGCAGAGGGGGGUGGAAUUCCACGUGUAGCAGUGAAAUGCGUAGAGAUGUGGAGGAACACCGAUGGCGAAGGCAGGUCUCUGGGCUGACACUGACGCUCAUGCACGAAAGCGUGGGGAGCAAACAGG
Molecule: ribosomal RNA, 253 nt
Filed under: uncultured bacterium
Lineage: Bacteria
Description: partial 16S ribosomal RNA
Rfam family: Bacterial small subunit ribosomal RNA
Source: RNAcentral